UGAGGAAUAUUGGUCAAUGGACGCAAGUCUGAACCAGCCAAGCAGCGUGCAGGAUGACGGCCCUAUGGGUUGUAAACUGCUUUUAUAUGGGGCUAAAGUGGGGAACGUGUUCCCUUUUGCAGGUACCAUAUGAAUAAGGACCGGCUAAUUCCGUGCCAGCAGCCGCGGUAAUACGGAAGGUUCGGGCGUUAUCCGGAUUUAUUGGGUUUAAAGGGUGCGUAGGCCGUUUGGUAAGCGUGUUGUGAAAUGUAGGAGCUCAACUUCUAGAUUGCAGCGCGAACUGUCAGACUUGAGUGCGCACAACGUAGGCGGAAUUCAUGGUGUAGCGGUGAAAUGCUUAGAUAUCAUGAAGAACUCCGAUUGCGAAGGCAGCUUACGGGAGCGCAACUGACGCUGAAGCUCGAAGGUGCGGGUAUCGAACAGG
RNAcentral lists this ribosomal RNA (424 nucleotides) under Verrucomicrobiota bacterium. Its description in RNAcentral is "Verrucomicrobia bacterium partial 16S ribosomal RNA". It matches the Rfam family "Bacterial small subunit ribosomal RNA", at positions 355 to 776 of the family's 1533-position model. Lineage: Bacteria; Pseudomonadati; Verrucomicrobiota. The record is from RNAcentral.